Molecule: ribosomal RNA, 549 nt
Filed under: uncultured bacterium
Lineage: Bacteria
Description: bacterial SSU rRNA
Rfam family: Bacterial small subunit ribosomal RNA
Source: RNAcentral
CAGCAGUGGGGAAUAUUGCACAAUGGGCGCAAGCCUGAUGCAGCCAUGCCGCGUGUAUGAAGAAGGCCUUCGGGUUGUAAAGUACUUUUCAGCGGGAGGAAGGGAGUAAAGUUAAUACCUUUGCUCAUUGACGUUACCCGCAGAAGAAGCCCCGGCUAACUCCGUGCCAGCGGCCGCGGUAAUACGAAGGGGGCUAGCGUUGCUCGGAAUCACUGGGCGUAAAGGGCGCGUAGGCGGCUGAUUUAGUCGAGGGUAAAGCCCGUGGCUCAACCACGGAAUGGCCUUCGAUACUGGUUGGCUUGAGACCGGAGGAGGACAGCGGAACUGCGAGUGUAGAGGUGAGAUUCGUAGAUAUUCGCAAGAACACCAGUGGCGAAGGCGGCUGUCUGGUCCGGUUCUGACGCUGAGGCGCGAAAGCGUGGGGAGCAAACAGGAUUAGAUUCCCUGGUAGUCCACGCCGUAAACGAUGAGUGCUAAGUGUUAGGGGUGCAUGCACCUUAGUGCGCCGCUAACGCAUUAAGCACUCCGCCUGGGGAGUACGGUCGCAAG